AUACGGAAGGUCCGGGCGUUAUCCGGAUUUAUUGGGUUUAAAGGGUGCGUAGGCGGUUAUUUAAGUCAGUGGUGAAAGUUUUCGGCUCAACCGGAAAAUUGCCAUUGAUACUGGGUAGCUAGAAUAUGGUUGCUGUGAGUAGAAUGUGUGGUGUAGCGGUGAAAUGCAUAGAUAUCACACAGAAUACAGAUUGCGAAGGCAUCUCACAAAGCCAUCAUUGACGCUGAGGCACGAAAGUGUGGGGAUCAAACAGGAUUAGAUACCCUGGUAGUCCACACUGUAAACGAUGAUAACUCGCUGUCGGCGAUACAUAGUCGGUGGCCAAGCGAAAGCGAUAAGUUAUCCACCUGGGGAGUACGACCGCAAGGUUGAAACUCAAAUGAAUUGACGGGG
Molecule: ribosomal RNA, 393 nt
Filed under: uncultured bacterium
Lineage: Bacteria
Description: partial 16S ribosomal RNA
Rfam family: Bacterial small subunit ribosomal RNA
Source: RNAcentral